CUAGAUGCUGACGAGUGGCGGACGGGUGAGUAACGCGUGGGAAUCUGCCUUCUAGUGGGGGAUAGCCCGGAGAAAUCCGGAUUAAUACCGCAUACGCCCUACGGGGGAAAGCCGGGGAUCUUCGGACCUGGCGCUAGUAGAUGAGCCCGCGUGAGAUUAGCUUGUUGGUGGGGUAAUGGCCUACCAAGGCAACGAUCUCUAGCUGGUCUGAGAGGACGAUCAGCCACACUGGGACUGAGACACGGCCCAGACUCCUACGGGAGGCAGCAGUGGGGAAUAUUGGACAAUGGGCGAAAGCCUGAUCCAGCAAUGCCGCGUGUGUGAAGAAGGCCUGAGGGUUGUAAAGCACUUUCAGUGGGGAAGAUAAUGACUGUACCCACAGAAGAAGCACCGGCUAACUACGUG
RNAcentral lists this ribosomal RNA (405 nucleotides) under uncultured bacterium. Its description in RNAcentral is "bacterial SSU rRNA". It matches the Rfam family "Bacterial small subunit ribosomal RNA", at positions 80 to 507 of the family's 1533-position model. The record is from RNAcentral.